RNAcentral lists this long non-coding RNA (668 nucleotides) under Malus domestica (apple). RNAcentral describes it as "long non-coding RNA (MDOM_LNC005628)". Lineage: Eukaryota; Viridiplantae; Streptophyta; Magnoliopsida; Rosales; Rosaceae. The record is from RNAcentral.
AAGAACUAUUUAAAAUGUUACAAUUUAGUCUGAAUAUGUUGUGUUUAAGAUAUUGGAGGCAAUUACAAUGUUGGUUUUGAUUAUGGUUAUCUUUUGAGGCUUCUGUAUUCUGACACAUUUAGUACCGUUUUUGGUAACCAGUGCUGCAAUUGGACUCUCAUGAUGGCUUAGCAUCACUAUUCAAACGACAAGAAUUAUUUUAUUUUAUAUACGUUUUUUUUUUUUUUGAGUUUUGGGGCAGAACUAUUGAAACUAUUUUUAUUUUGGAGUCACAUUGCUUAUUGUUACACCUUGAAAUGGGCCGGUAGGUAGGAGUUGCAUAACUCGCCUAAAUACUUUUAUAAACUUGUUAAAAAGAAAAAUAGGUCCAAUCAAUAAUUAAUUAUUGUUACAGUCAUAUUUAAAAUAAAAAUGUGAUUGUGUAAAUCUUAGUGUAUCUAGUGAUCUCUUAAUAUUCCUUUUAGUAGUUAAUAUCAUAUUAGAGUUGUAAUCCUAUAAGGGUAAGAAUUGGUUCAUACUACUAUAAAUAAAAGCACAAUGGGGUGAUACAACACACACCUCACAAUUUAAUCUCUUUCUUCUCUUUCUCUUGCUGCCGGCCUCUCUCCCUCUGUAGUCCUAAAUACAGUUCAAUCAAAUAGGCCUACAACACGUUCUUGCCAAAAGCU